AAUUAUUAUUAUUAUUAUUAUUAUUAUUAUUAUUAUUAUUAUUAUUAUUAUUAUUAUUAUUGUUAUUGAUGGCAAUGACAAGUUCAUUAAAGACUACAGCAACAAUAUGCCUCCUGUUUGCGCUCUUUUUUUCUACUGAGAUGGGUCCAAUGAUGCUUGGAGUGGUUGGAGAACCAAAAUCUCAUCCUACUGACCAGGUUUGCGUUAAAAAGAGUAAUUGCAACAAAGUGUGCCGUCCACAUGCUGGUGGUGGUAAAUGCAUUUUAUUAUAUUGCGUCUGCUUUGAUGCAAAGCCGUAAUACAAUGGUGGUGGUGAUUGUGGCAAGUUUGGGGUUUUACAAUCAUGCUUCAAAUGGCUCCUCUAAAGUGAUUGAAAAUAAAACUCAGGAGAUUAGUAUUUGUUGUUCUAUUACAAUUUUUUUUUUUCACUUUUUAACAUUAUAUUAUAGCCGGCCUUAUGAAUUUUAAGUAAAAGUAUCGUGAUUGAGUACAACAUAUAUGUGAAGUGCAUUCAGUUGGUUCCUAGUGAUAAAUUGUGGGUAAAGAUACUGAAUUGAAUUUGGAUAGUC
Molecule: long non-coding RNA, 569 nt
Organism: Ipomoea nil (Japanese morning glory)
Lineage: Eukaryota; Viridiplantae; Streptophyta; Magnoliopsida; Solanales; Convolvulaceae
Exons: 2
Source: RefSeq, a predicted model, not a curated record